GUCCCUAUAGCGCAAUGGAUAGCGCGUUGGACUUCUAAUCUGAAGGUCAUGGGUUCGAAUCCCACCUGGGAUG
This 73-nucleotide transfer RNA is filed under the name Trichonephila clavata. It matches the Rfam family "tRNA". From Rfam's summary of the family: Transfer RNA (tRNA) molecules are approximately 80 nucleotides in length. Their secondary structure includes four short double-helical elements and three loops (D, anti-codon, and T loops). Lineage: Eukaryota; Metazoa; Arthropoda; Arachnida; Araneae; Nephilidae. The record is from Rfam by way of RNAcentral.